RNAcentral lists this ribosomal RNA (1295 nucleotides) under uncultured candidate division WS6 bacterium. Its description in RNAcentral is "bacterial SSU rRNA". It matches the Rfam family "Bacterial small subunit ribosomal RNA". The record is from RNAcentral.
AGAGUUUGAUUAUGGCUCAGGAUAACGUUGGCUGUGUGCCUAAGGUAUGCAAGUCGAACGAUCCCUGGGUUAGUGGCAAACGGGUGAGUAACACGUGGAUAACCUGCCUUGAAGUCAUGAACAGCUCAUCGAAAGAUGGGAUAAUACAUGAUAUUACAUCUUCUUUAGAUCUUGUAAGUAAAGUUACGGCGCUUCAAGAGGGGUCCGCGUCCUAUCAGCUAGUUGGUGAGGUAAUAGCUCACCAAGGCUAAGACGGGUAGCUGGCGUGAGAGCGCGGUCAGCCACCAUGGAACUGAGACACGGUCCAUACUCCUACGGGAGGCAGCAAUUAGGAAUCUUGCGCAAUGGGGGCAACCCUGACGCAGCGACACAGCGUGGAGGAGGUUCGUUGACUCCUUUUAUAUGGGAUAGAACCAUAUGAAUAAGCACCUGCAACUACGUGCCAGAAGCAUCGGUAAUGCGUAGGGUGCAAACGUUAUCCGGAUUUAUUGGGUGUAUAGAGAGCGUAGGCGUUUUUGUAAGUCUUUAGUUAAAGACCACGGCUCAACCGUGGAAGAGCUUCGGAUACUGCAAAAAUUGAGACAGGAAGAGGCGAACAGAAUUUCCAGUGGAGCGGUGAAAUGCGUUGAUACUGGGAGGAAUAUCAGUGGCGAAGGCGGUUCGCUGGUCCUGCCUGACGCUAAGGCUCGAAAGCGUGGGUAGCAAAACGGAUUAGAUACCCGUGUAGUCCACGCUGUAAACUAUGGAUGCUAGGUGUUCGGUAUAAGUAUUGAGUGCCGCAGUUAACACGUUAAGCAUCCCACCUGGGAAGUACGGCCGCAAGGCUAAAACUCAAAUGAAUUGGCGGGGACCCGCACAAGCGGAGGAGCGCGUGGUUUAAUUCGACGGCAAUCGAAGAACCUUACCAGGGUCAUGAUCGCAUAUUCCCAGAAACGGGAAUUUCGGUGAUCAAGUGCUGCAUGGCCGUCGUCAGCUCGUGUCGUGAGAUGUAGGGUUAAGUCCCGAAACGAGCGCAACCCCUAUCUCAUGUUAUAUGUGUCUUGAGAAACUGCCUCGGUAACGGGGAGGAAGGUGGGGAUGACGUCUGGUCCGCAUAGCCCUUAUGUCCUGGGCUACACACGCGCUACAAUGGUAGGUACAAUGGGCAGCCAAACCGCAAGGUGGAGCUAUCCUAAAAACCUAUCUCAGUUCGGAUUGUGGGCUGAAACUCGCCCACAUGAAGUUGGAUUCGCUAGUAAUCGUGGAUCAGCCAUGCCGCGGUGAAUACGUUCUCGGGUCUUGCACACACCCCCGUC